RNAcentral lists this ribosomal RNA (315 nucleotides) under uncultured Malassezia. Its description in RNAcentral is "partial large subunit ribosomal RNA". It matches the Rfam family "Eukaryotic large subunit ribosomal RNA", at positions 40 to 350 of the family's 3401-position model. Lineage: Eukaryota; Fungi; Basidiomycota; Malasseziomycetes; Malasseziales; Malasseziaceae. The record is from RNAcentral.
AUAUCAAUAAGCGGAGGAAAAGAAACUAACAAGGAUUCCCCUAGUAACGGCGAGCGAAGCGGGAAGAGCUCAAAUUUGAAAGCUGGCACCUCCGGUGUCCGCGUUGUAAUCUCGAGACGUGUUUUCCGUGCGGCUCUAUGGACAAGUCCCUUGGAAUAGGGCAUCGUAGAGGGUGAGAAUCCCGUACUUGCCAUGGAAGAACCGUGCUUUGCGAUACACGCUCUAAGAGUCGAGUUGUUUGGGAUUGCAGCUCAAAAUGGGUGGUAGACUCCAUCUAAAGCUAAAUAUCGGGGAGAGACCGAUAGCGCACAAGUA